Small nuclear RNA from Hevea brasiliensis (rubber tree), 118 nucleotides. RefSeq annotates it as U5 spliceosomal RNA. NCBI's taxonomy places the organism in Eukaryota, Viridiplantae, Streptophyta, Magnoliopsida, Malpighiales, Euphorbiaceae. The record is from RefSeq and is a predicted model, not a curated record. The transcript has a single exon.
AUCAUGCGGUGAGAACAAAGCGAACUAUUCUUUCACCUUUCACUAAAUAAUAACAUGUGCUCGUUGCAGAUAGCUGCAUACGCUAAUUUUUAGAGGGUUCGCCUUUAUAAUGUGAGCC